Molecule: long non-coding RNA, 5612 nt
Organism: Alligator mississippiensis (American alligator)
Lineage: Eukaryota; Metazoa; Chordata; Crocodylia; Alligatoridae
Exons: 2
Source: RefSeq, a predicted model, not a curated record
GAAACUCAUAAAACUCUUGUUAAAGUGCUUGCUCAGGAUCCAUGGCGUCACCAGGUCUUUUACUUCGGAAGCCAAAGAGUUUUAUUCCUAAAUGAGUUAAAGAGCCAUUUACCUCUGUCGUGUUCUAUUCAUCAAACCACAAGUCGAGAGUCCCUAACAUGAAACUAUUUGUUUGCUUACACAACCAGCUGGGCGCAAUUUCACGUCUGAGAUAUCUAUCUGAAAGCGCCUCUCAUUUAUUAUCCUUACUUGUCAGCGAAUCCAUUUUCCGACUCCCUUUUUUUUUCACUGAAGGAUCUGGAGUAAAAUGCUCCCCUAAAUAUCUCGGGCUCCCCCUCCGAUCCCAGCCCCAACCGGCUGGAGAGCAAGGGGGGAAGUGUCGAGAUCACAAAGAUAAGGUGACUUCAGUCUUACAGCCCUCUCUCCUCUCUCUGUCUCCGUCUCUGUCUCUGGGUGCCUGGUGGAUGACUGGAGUUAAAAAAAAACUGCAGGCAUCUUCCUGCAGGAUAUUUUCUCUGGUGCAAGGUGUAACCACCUGUAAAACAAAAUUACAGAGGACUGGCAUAGAAAAGCCCCCGUCUCUUGCCCUGUCAGCUGCAAGUACAAUAGCUUGCUCGGAGCUGCUGUGAGGUUGCACGGUGUAAAACGUAUGACCUUGGUGACUGUGUCACCAAUUAUUAUUUCUGGCCUGGUGAUGAUUGUAACUCAAAUCUAAAUGCCUGUAUGAUUGGGGAAGCAGGGGAAGGCUCAUCCCCCCCCCCCCACACACACACACACGUGGUUUCCAUUGGAAACACAAAGACACAACGUGAAAGGUACCAGACCGGUUUAUAAAUAUAAUUGCUACUAAAGAGAACAAUUAACAAAGAGGACAGUAGGAAACUGUAUCUUUUUGAAACACUCUUACCCCAAUUUUGAAAAAUCAGGAUAAUGUGAGUAGUGUUUCAAAGCAGGACCGUCUGGCUGACAAGAGAAUCACUGUUAGUAAUCUCAAUGAUGGCUGUAUAAUAGUGUAUAUACAUCUCCUUGUCUGCAGAGUCCUCCAUCAAGCUUAAAGCAAUGGAUCAAAUCCAAAACUACAGAGUAUAAAAUAACCCCACCUGUAAAAAAAAAAAAAAAAGAAAAGAAAAAAGGAGAAGGAAAGAGAAGUGGGGUGGCGGGGAGUACUUUCAGGGAAAUCAGUCUGGUUGCUGUAAGCUAUCCUAUUGUGUUGAUUUAGGAAGACAUUUGCUGUAUAUAACGUUUAAGGCUGAUAAUAUCAUUGCCUGGCCAAAUAAAUAAAGCAUUGGCCAAACCGUGGGGUCAGCUAUCGAUCCCCGGGCUGUGAGAGGAGGGAGAGACAGUCCAUGAGAGAGUCAGAGGUUCAGGGUGUCUGCAAGGCAGACACAGAGAUCCUGUGUGUGCAGGGGAGAGAGGCUGUGCGUGUCUCAGAGAGGGAUAUUCUGUGUGUGAGAAUCAGACAAGGAUAUUCUAUGCGAGUGUUUGAGAGCACACUCUGUGGGUAUAGGAGGGAGAGGGGGAGAGACCGUGUGUGUGUGUGAGAGAGAGAGAGAGAGAGUUUUCAGUCCGCUUUGCAAAGCCUCAUUAGCAUUCCCUCCCUGCCCAUGGACCUGCACUGACAACUAACAGAGAUAUCCAGCUCACCACUAGGCCUCCUCUCCUUUUGUCUUCAAAUCUCUAAGAGAAACAGAUUUAUACGUGGGCUCUGCGCAGUGAACUAACUUCCACUUGGUUCCAGAAGAGACAAGAUGUUAAAAAACAAAUGGGCAAGGCCCUACCCACUGUUGUUUCCCAAUGGGUUGUGCAAACUUCUAUCCCUUCCAUAUAAUGCCCGUGCCCGUGCGUGUGCUAUCGCGGCGGUGUAAAGAGCUGCACCAGUGAUGGUGAAAGUGGUCUGCUACUUUUCCUUUGUCACCUGUAGCAAGAAGCUUUGGUGUGGUUACACAUACGCGUAUCAUGAGGUUUUUUUUCUCUCUUACGUACGAUUUAUGGGGCAUAUCAAAAAGAGCUUCAUUUUUUUCCCCCUACAGGGUGAAAACUACCGGUUGCUUUAAAAAAAAAGGAAAGAAAAAAAAAAAAGAAAAGAGCAAAUCUCUACAUCGGUGUUUGCUUUGUGUCUUUUCCCCUGCUUAUUUCCCGAUUAACGCUCCUCUCCAAACGGUGACAAAAUUCUCCACAAAGAGCCAGAAAAAAAGAGGAAUUGUGACUUUCAUCUCUAGGCCAGAAAGCUCUUUAAACUUCCAGCGUUGAGCUCAAAUCCAUUUCUAACAAGGUUUCUGAGAAGCAGAGUGCACACAACUUACUGCAAACUAUACACUGCUCCCUGAAGUUAUAAAUUAAACUAGUCAGGUAUUUUUCCAGAAAGCGUACAAAUUAGUCCAUGUUGACAGAUGUUUGUCACUUAGUAACUUCUUUCCAAGUUUUUUUUUUUUUUUUUUUUUCCUCCUCUAAGCCUUGUUUCGAGCUUGCUUUGUUGUUUUAAAAUAUGCAUGUCUCUCAGGAAUGCCAGUCACGAGUCCAAACUUUGUGUCCAACCUCCCACAUGAAAUGAUCCUUUUAUAGGGAACCCGAUAUGUCUCAAUCUGCACUUCACUCAAAGCCUCUGCAUAUGGGGCACUGGUCCCUGCUCAAAAAUAACUCAGCAGAAACGCCUUUCCACCUAAAGCCCCCCCAAAAAACCCCACGAAUGACUCCCAAAGAAGAAAUAUAGCUUCCAUAAUUAAAGGAGGCAGCGGUCAGAGGGGAAUGCAGCUUGGGGGAAAAAAAGUAAGAGUUUUAUUUCUUUUCUGAUUGCACUUGGGCUGUCAUUAACAGCAGGUUUAUCAACACAAGGCUCUCACAGCACAGCCUGAAGACCAGAAGAGAAGGACGAGGCGAGAUUAAGGAACUACAGGCCAACGGCGAGAAAGAAAGCCCUUUGAAGUAGUUCCGCCACGAGAAGGCUCGGCUCCUUCCACUCCGAGUGCAACAGCUCUUGAAAGGAGCGGAGAGGCAGGUUAUUUUUUCCCAGGCUAAGAAGCAGGUGAGAGUGCUGGUGCUCCGGGAUGCGUGUUCACAACAAGCAUUUGAAAAUCCCUGUUGCUUCAAACUACCUUGCGACAGCGCUGUCAAGAGCCAGGGACAGGAGUCCUUAAGCUCAGGCUUCUCGUUUGGAUUUAGUGGCAAUCAUGGGACGCUCUUGAUCAGAAAGCCCCUGUAACAGAGCUGCGCAACUUUUCAGACCAGCUCUCAUCUGCUCUUCUAACAUGAUCCUGCCUGGAUCGCCCCUCUAGGGCGCAUUUCCAGAGAAAUAUUACGAGGAAUGUUACCAGAAAUGCGCAGGUAUCUUUAAAAAGAAAGAAAGGGGAAGAGAGAGAGAGAGAUCCCUUUAAAAGCGCAUUUUCUAUCCAAUAGCUAACGGAACCUAAGCGCAUAGUAUGAAACCAAAACCACAAUCGCUACAGCAGGGCCACAACACGUAGUCACUAUUACUCCGGCCUGAGACACAUAUUUAAACCUUAUUUGUGCGUUUUUUAAGCCUCAUAAACAACCAAGAUUCGCAGGCUGUCUACAGGUUUGAACGAUGCUCCGGGACUAUGCAGAUUUCUUUUUUAAAAUUAAAUCAAAAUAAGAGCUGUUUUUUUCUAACUGCAUUUGUAUUUUUGGCCCUUUUUUUCUUAUCAGUUUUUACUGGGGGUUCGCGUUCAUCACUAAUCCCAUUCUUCUUCCUAACAAUGCAUUUUAUCAAGUUUGAAAUGCAUAGUGAGCCAUAACUGGAGCAUGCGGUUAUUGUGCAGCUGAUGGCCCAGAACAAAUCCUGUUGCACAGAAAAAAUCAUUUUGUUCAUAUCUAUGUCAUAUCUAUAGCAUAAAUAUGAAAAGUAUGUGCGUGUGUGCGCCGGCACACAGAGUGCGGGUGGGAGAAAACACAUAAGGAAUAAAAGCCUGCUGAACAUGUAAAAUCAAACCCACCAGUUACUAUUCACUUGAGAAGUCUCAAGAUUGUCUGAAUUUCCUCAUUUUUGUUAUUGAAGCUACAACGUUGAGUUACAGUACUUAAACAGGGGAAAUUUAGCAAUGCAAUAAACCUGGCUGUCUAACCCCACUUUGAAGUAAUGCUGGUGGGUCUAAAAUCCAGAUCUACGUGUUAAUCUCUAGUUUUGCCUUCAAACGGAAUUCAGUGACAAAGAGCUUGGAAAGAUUUUGCAUCUAUUCAAGAGGCACAAAAUCUUUAAUUUUCUGAGGAGUAAAAACUCCCCAAGAAACUUCAUAUAGCUUCUUAGGUUUUGCUUAGCAUACGUGAUAAAACAUUGAUUGUCGCAGUUUGGUGACCCAUGAAAUUUGGGGGUUAGUUUUCUCUUCAGACCAGAGCAUAUAAUUAUGCAAAUAAAGAGCUGUCACUGAUCUAGUGAAAUACUCACAAGCACAUGCAAUCCCAAAUGGAACAGAAAAGUGAAAAUUUGUGGCAUUGCGAUGGUACCACGAUAAAUGCCAUCUCCUGCAAAGUUUCUCGAGUUCAUCUCUUCACGCUUUGUCGACUAUUUCAACAUAAUUUACGACAUAAUUUAUAACAAAUGUUAUAUAUAUGUGUGUUUCAGAUGCAUGCCAGUUUUAAAUGUACACUGCACAGUUCUUGGAAGGCUAUUUUAAUUUGGUAGCUAGAAAACAGUGCAUUGCAGGACUAUCUUGGCUAUGGCAGCUUCCAUUUGUAGGUUGGAGGGAAAUUCUUAGAGAGACCAAAGCAGAUGUUUCGCAGGGAUCGUCUGGAAGCCCCAUAUUUCCCUUAAUCAAGACCAAGGGGAUAAAUCUAAACUGCUGUCUAGAUCCAAGGUGCUGAGUAGCAGAUAAACAGCGGAAGCUCCAUCCACAUGGAGUGCUGCAUUUCAUACGAAAAGUUUUUUUUCCCCCAACUUUAAAUGCUCGCGCAGAGUCAGCUGGAUUGUGUGACCAGGCACAUCGCACGUCGGGGCACAGGGUAAUAGCAGGGCCUCUUUCUCUUUCCCAGUACAGCCGUGCUAAAUUUCCCCAUCGGAUGUAAGAUCUGGGUGAAAAGUGGGGAUCUCAGACUUCUGAUAGCCUUAGAUCCAGGGCUCAGUUGUGACAAAAUAAUAAGCCCCCUUUGCAUCCAACCUUGCUCUUACAUCUUUUUGGCAUUUGGGUCUCCCGGUCCCAAAGUUACCAGUCCUCAGUCUGUCGAAUAAUGUCAGAUGUCAUGGAGCUUCCCAGUGAUGAAAUCUGAGAAGGCUCAUGUCAGACCUCUGACUGUUAAAGACAUCACUACAUGAAAGAUCAGUGGUGUGAAACUUUAAAAACAUCGAUCCAAAUGAAUCAAUUAAAUCAACAUUCAUCCCUCCUAAGUGAGGUUUAAGACUAUCAUUGUUACCUUUUUACACUACACAGAUUUGGAGAUAAACGCUGGAAUGCUUUGAUGGUUUCAUCUCGCCUAGAAACACUGUUAAUCGACUUUGUGUUAUUUUCCCCCUUUCAACAGCUUACCUCCCCGCGUACAUUCUUCACAUAUAGGACAGUCCAAGACUGCUUCUUCCAAUCUAACACUGGAUAACAAAGCUGAUUCUGUAGCGAGGAGGGGGUGAAGCUUUGUUAGGUGUUGAUUAAAACUCUUUUUUUCCCCUA